Molecule: long non-coding RNA, 955 nt
Organism: Canis lupus familiaris (dog)
Lineage: Eukaryota; Metazoa; Chordata; Mammalia; Carnivora; Canidae
Exons: 3
Source: RefSeq, a predicted model, not a curated record
CACAGGGUAAGGAGCCCAGUGUGGUGGCUUGAUCCCAGGACUCUAGGAUCAUGACCAGAGCCAAAGGCAGAUGCUUAACCAACUGAGCCAACCAGGCACCCCCAAAACUCUUAUUUUUAAGAGUUGUUUUGUGGCUGUAGAGGAGAGCCUGCCUUAUGCCACCCUGUUGAUAACAACUCUGUUAUGGAUGAAGAAGCAGAUCAUCUGGAGGCCCUUGGUAUGUGCAAGUGUGUUGGAGAAGUCGGGCUUUUGUUUCCUCAUCUGGAAUCCUCCCUACUUUCCCCAGGAGGGACACACUGAGAGGGUAUGGAUGGGUGGGUAGCAAAGGAAUUGUUUCAACAGCAGUGAAUGUAUGAGGUCAAGGCAGGGCUGACACUGUUCUCAAUAAGGAGCAUUGUGACUAUGAACAAAGGCUAGUGGGAUUUUUCUUCAUUUGUUUGCUUUCAUUUCUUCAUGCUAGACAGCUGGAAUGCCAGGGGCAGUUCUGUGCCAAGCCACAAAAAGGAUGAAAGCCCAGGACUUCCCCUAGGACAACAGCUUCCAUUUUAGCUUAAGGCAAGCAUAAAAUCUGCCCUAAGGUAGUAGUUUAGGAACUUCCUGUUGGUUCACAUUUCAAACAGAUUAUAUUUAAUUUUCACCUUACCACUCAGAGCUCAGAGUGAACAGGGAUAAGGUCAGGAGACCCAGGGACGGAGUACUCUGCUAAGAACUGAACCAGUGACCACCUGGCUUCCAGCAAAAACAAGAAAUGCAAGUAGAACUGUGAAAAGGUUUAAUUCUUCUUUCUUAAAUAGAAGGAAAAACAAAGCGGUUCAGACGACAACUCUCAGAUGAGAACAGACAGCCAUAAUGGAACCCAAACCUCAGAAGAAGUACAGGUAUCCAGGGGGGUAUACUCUCCGAAGUAAAAAACUUUAUUGAAAAUAACCAACAAUUCUCACCAAGCUAAUCAGGG